AGUGAACGCUGGCGGUAGGCUUAACACAUGCAAGUCGAACGGCAGCACAGUAAGAGCCUGUUCUAACGGGUGGCGAGUGGCGGACGGGUGAGGAAUAUAUUCGAAUCUACUUUUUCGUGGGGGACAACGUAGGGAAACUUACGCUCAUAUAGCAUACGACUUACGGGUGAAAGCAGGGAAUCUUUGGACCUUGCGCGUUUGCAUGAGCCGAUGUCGGAUUAGCUAGUUGGCGGGGUAAAGGACCACCAAGGCGACGAUCCGUAGCUAGUCUGAGAGGAUGAUCAGCCACACUGGAACUGACACACAGACCAGACUCCUGCGACGGGCAGCAGUGGGGAAUAUGGGACAAUGGGCGCAUACCUGAUCCUGCCAUACCGCGUGGGUGAAGGAGGCCUUCGGGUUGUAAAGCCCUUUUGUUGGGAAAGAAAAUCUGCAUGUUGAUACCCCGCUGUUCUGACGGUACCCGAAGAAUAAGCACCGGCUAACUUCGUG
This 492-nucleotide ribosomal RNA is filed under the name uncultured bacterium. Its description in RNAcentral is "partial 16S ribosomal RNA". It matches the Rfam family "Bacterial small subunit ribosomal RNA", at positions 29 to 507 of the family's 1533-position model. The record is from RNAcentral.